Molecule: non-coding RNA, 173 nt
Filed under: bovine gut metagenome
Source: RNAcentral
GCUGGUGCACCAAAGUGUGCUGAAAAGGGAAUCGGGUGGAAAUCCCGAACAGUCCCGCUGCUGUGAGUUGUUCUUUGAAGGCAAACGACGAUGUCACUGUUGUUGUAAUGGAUCAUUGCAAUGGCGGGAAGACGGAUUUGCCGACAACGAGUCAGAAGACCUGCCAGUUUUUU